RNAcentral lists this signal recognition particle RNA (94 nucleotides) under Olsenella sp. HMSC062G07. RNAcentral's name for it is "Bacterial small signal recognition particle RNA". It matches the Rfam family "Bacterial small signal recognition particle RNA". Rfam says of the family: The signal recognition particle (SRP) is a universally conserved ribonucleoprotein involved in the co-translational targeting of proteins to membranes. The record is from Rfam by way of RNAcentral. Lineage: Bacteria; Bacillati; Actinomycetota; Coriobacteriia; Coriobacteriales; Atopobiaceae.
CGACGGGGGCGGACGACGCCACACCUCGAACCUGGUCAGGGCCGGAAGGCAGCAGCCAUAAGGGGCCUCUGGCGGGCGUCCGUUCCCGUCGAGC